This 397-nucleotide ribosomal RNA is filed under the name uncultured bacterium. RNAcentral describes it as "partial 16S ribosomal RNA". It matches the Rfam family "Bacterial small subunit ribosomal RNA", at positions 338 to 732 of the family's 1533-position model. The record is from RNAcentral.
CCUACGGGAGACAGCAGUGAGGAAUAUUGGUCAAUGGCCGCAAGCCUGAACCAGCCAAGUCGCGUGAAGGAUGAAUGUCCUAAGCAUUGUAAACUUCUUUUAUCAAGGGAUAAAGUCAGGCUCGUGUGCCUUAUCGUGUGUACUUUAUGAAUAAGGAUCGGCUAACUCCGUGCCAGCAGCCGCGGUAAUACGGAGGAUGCGAGCGUUAUCCGGAUUUAUUGGGUUUAAAGGGAGCGUAGAUGGGUUGUUAAGUCAGUGGUGAAAGGUUGCGGCUCAACCGUGAGAUGGCCAUUGAUACUGGCAGUCUUGAGUACAGUUGAGGUAGGCGGAAUGCGCGGUGUAGCGGUGAAAUGCUUAGAUAUUACGAAGAACUCCGAUUGCGAAGGCAGCAUACUAA